This 3246-nucleotide long non-coding RNA is filed under the name Sus scrofa (pig). RNAcentral describes it as "lncRNA (ENSSSCG00050015929.1)". The record is from RNAcentral. Lineage: Eukaryota; Metazoa; Chordata; Mammalia; Artiodactyla; Suidae.
UGCUGGUUUAUCAUAAUGUGUUAUUCAGCCUAGCUAAAUGAAACAAUCCCUAAGUCAGAAUUUGCGGUAAACCAGCAUGGAUGGAAUAAGCACAGACUCACAAGUAAGACAUUCACAUAAGCCGGGGGAGGCAGGGAGGUGCAGAGGAGGGAAGUUUCCUUGAUGGCAUCAGAAUAGGGAACAAUGGUUUAAAUGAGAUAGCAGACAUUCCCCGGGGAAACCCAAAGUCCUUCACACACCCAGGUGGUGCGUCCAUAAAAGUAUGCUGUUGGCCGCCACCAAGCCGAGGGGCUUCCACAUAGGUCAGCAGUUGUCAACACUGGGCUUUUAUGUUUGAAGGAAUCCAGAGGAGUCUGCACCCAGCCGGAAGUCCUAAGUCGUGCCCGAGCGAUGGCCCGACCUUCCAUGUACGAGAAACACCAUCUUCCGGGAAGACGCUUCCACCCUUCUGCUCCCAGGGGUUUGCUGAUGCAAACCCACAUGGGCCCACGGUGCCCACGUGCAAGCGCCCUGCGGUUCUGGUGAAGCAACUUUCCAAAUCCUGUGUUUCCAGCAGGAUAACGUGGGUGAUCGGGGCGGGGGGGGGGGGGGGGGGAGGUGAGAAUUGGAAAAUUCACUCUUUAUCAAGGUUUCCGUCCCACAGCCCCGGGAAGACGGACCAAGAGCCUGAGGAGGCAGGACGCCCUGGAGGAAGUGGCUUGCCUGUCAGUUAUAAAAUGUGGAGGAAGAACCCCACACACGGCGUCUGAGACACCUCGCCUGGUGAGAGAUGGGACAGAGACGAGCCUACGUCCGAAGGCGAAGGGGGUGUUUCAUCCAAAGGAGGACACACAGUGCCCACUGGGGCACCAUGGGAUGGUGCCAUCUCCAGGACGCAGGUUCGAUUCCCGGCCCAGCACAGCGGGUUAAAGGAUCCGGCGCUGCGGCAGCAAUGGCUCAGGUGGCAACGACAGCUCAAAUCUGGUUCCUGGCCCAGGAACUCCAUGUGCCAUGGCACAACCAGAAAAGAAAAAACAAACAAGACAAAAAAAAUCUAAGGCUAUAUUUGUCUUGAGGGAUUUCUGAGCUUAUGUUUUCACGGCUAAAUUCUGACCACACAUCCACGCUAAACAGCAAUAAUUCAAGCCUGGGGCAUACACUUUGGUUUCUUUUUUAGGGGGGAGUUGGUUUUGGUUUUGGUUUUUUGUGGGGGUUUUUUGUAUUUUUUUUUUUUCUUUUUAGGGCCACACCUGCAGCAUACAGAAGUUACCAGGCUAGCAGAGGAAUCAGAGCUGCAUCUGUGACCCACACCACAGCUCAUGGCAACCCCAGGUCCUUAACUCACUGAGUGAAGCCAGGGAUCAAACCAGCACCCUCACGGAUGCUUGUCCGACUCUUAACCUGCUAGGACACAACAGGAACUCCCUGGGGCGUAUACUUUGGGAAAAUGCUUUCUGUGGAUUCCACUCCAGCGGCUCAUGAUUCAAUCCGUGUAGGGGCAGGUGGCCAGAGCCCGACUCCAGUUCACAGCAUCCAUGGCCUCAUCCACCGUUUCCUCCUGACAGUUUAAGAUCUGUGUCCCUGGGGCCAGCAAGGACUACUGAUGGGCCAGCAUGGCGCAGCAGCAGCAUCUAGGGGGGAGGCUGGGGGGAGGGACGUUUGCCUGGCUCCCUGGCUGUAACAUCAGGCAUCCCGCAGUCCGGAGUCUCUCCAGGCUUCCCUGGGGGGCAGCAGGCAGGAGUGUCUGUGGACGAUGAGCUUCAAGCACCCCCCUUGGGCAGCCCAGGAGCACUGGGGGAAGUAGACACUCUCCCCUCAUUCCCCAGGAUGGCCCAGACCCCAGCUGAGGGACACGCAGUGCAGGGAGGAGUCUGCAGCUGCAGACAGGACCAGAGUGCAGCCACAGCCACAGGUGUCCCCGUGGGGGGCGGCCACGCCCAGAACCAGGUGCCACCUGGAACACUCCAAAGGAUGCCAGCGUGGACAGCACAGAAGACCCAGGGUCGUCUCUGCGGCACCAGGAGCCCCCUCCCACCCGAAACCCCGGCCAGCAGGCCUUGUCCCCUGUCCUGUGUCCAAGAGCCAGAAGGAGCCCCUCCCAGCCCCUCCAUGACGUCACCCACCGGAAGCUGCCGAAACCCACCGUUUAGGGGUUGAUGAAGGUUCCACGAAACCCACCGUUUAGGGGUUGAUGAAGGUUCCACGGAUAGAUUAAAUCACUGGGCGUGUUGAUUCAUCCAAGCUCCAGCCCUUCCUCCCUCCCCGACUUCCUGAGGGGGUGGAACUGAAACUUCCAACCUUCUCGCCGCCAACUUGGUUCCCAUGGCAACCGACCCUCAUCCUGAAGGCAUCUAGGGGCCCCUGUUGGGGUGAAAAGGACUUACUGUAAAGAACAAAAGCUGUGCCUCCCCUCACCCCGGGGGACCUGAGAGGGUUUUAGGAAAAACAAAAGUAUAGUUGGGUUCGUUUCCCCUGAGCCACAAUGCGAACUCCUGUAUUUCUUAUUUUACCUCAAUAUCCCAGGCCCUCCCAGGUUCUUUCCACCACCAGCCCCAUGGCCCACAUGUCCCACCUGAACUGUUCAAGCUGCAGCCUCCAGUGUGCACUGACCUCCUUCCAUCCAAAUUCAAGGUGGAGUUCCCAUUGUGGCUCAGGGGGUUAAGAACCCGACGAGUAUCCAUGAGGCUCUGGGUUCCAUCCCUGGCCUCGCUCAGUAGCUUAACGAUCCCGCGUUGCCGUGAGCUGGGGUGUGGGUCGCAGACGUGGCUCGGAUCCGGCGUUGCUGUGGCUGUGGUGUAGGCUGGCAGCUGUAGCUCCGAUUGGACCCCUAGCCUGGGAACCUCCAUAUCAUACGCCACAGGUGUGACCCUAAAAAGAAAAAAAAAAAAAAGCCAAAAGCACGAGGACUCAGGGGCUUGCACAGAGAUUCAAGACCCCAGGGCACCUGGUGCCUCAGGACUUCUGGGCGGGUAGAGCCGAGCAGCCCGGGACCUCCAGCCCGCGAGACCCCCUCUGCCCACCCCAGCGAGGGAGCAGGGGAAAGGCACCGUGUGGUUCCCAUGGACAGAAGUCUGUCUGGAGAAAAGUAACGUGGACCAGGACGUGGCGGAUUCCAUGACGGCUUUGAUGGGCUUGGGGGGGAGCGGGGGUGUGUGUGUGGGGGGUUGCAGUUCCAUGUUCUGAGAGGAGGCUCUAUGAAAAAUGCCUGUGUCCAAAAGAAAAGCCAGAGGUUGUGGUUUCUAAUAAACAGAGGCAAUGUCUGUUCCA